Rhododendron vialii is the source of this 752-nucleotide long non-coding RNA. RefSeq lists it as uncharacterized. NCBI's taxonomy places the organism in Eukaryota, Viridiplantae, Streptophyta, Magnoliopsida, Ericales, Ericaceae. The transcript has 2 exons. The record is from RefSeq and is a predicted model, not a curated record.
AAAAUGUAACUUCGUUGUACAGGUUGACAUGUUGGGUCAAAGUGUUUCAGUUCAAGACAUACACAAUUUGAUACCGCUAUGAGCAUGUUACAAUAGUUUUAAAACAACAAUUUAGACCGGGAAAACUUACACCUAGUUGCCCUAUUGUCAAUCCAAUUUCGGUUUAGAGACUUAGUUUUGCACAACACAUAAGACUGCUGAGCAAAAAACAAGAGGCCUUCUCAAUGAGCAAUCCAUUGAGGCAUGGAGUACUCGGUAGAUAUACAGAAGUACUGAAGAGCACCGUUCACAAAGCUCUUGAAGAGAAAAGCCGCUGAAGAGGCCUCAUGUGCUCUAUAGAAAUAUAGAGCUCUGUGCUUGAAUCCUAAUCAAAGAGUGAUCAAGCGAGCCGCCACAAUCUCUCUAAUAUGAGAAUCCAAAGAAGACCGCUAGGAAGGCAAGAGAGCUAUGUUACCUGAAACACAGAUCAUAUUGGUAUGAGUAAUGGGGACGGAAACGCAGUGCGCUACAUGCCUAAAUUGUGGUAUGAUAGGCCUAUGCUUCUUCCUUGAUACGAUAGAGGUAGAAGGUUGGCUUCAACUCACUAAUUGGAAGGAGUCAGAAGAUGCAUUGGACAGUGGUUUCGCUCAAGCUAGAGCAUGGAUGAGUCUGCGAUUGUUCCAUUCAGUCCUAUAAAUAAGAUAUGCGAGAUGUUUCUCACGAGAUUAGGUGGGGAGAGGCCUGUUGUCGAGACUCGAGGAUUGUUUUUGGCA